RNAcentral lists this ribosomal RNA (1295 nucleotides) under metagenome. RNAcentral's name for it is "bacterial LSU rRNA". It matches the Rfam family "Bacterial large subunit ribosomal RNA", at positions 1635 to 2925 of the family's 2925-position model. The record is from RNAcentral.
ACAACGACCGUACCGCAAACCGACACUGGUGCGCGAGAUGAGUAUUCUAAGGCGCUUGAGAGAACUCAGGAGAAGGAACUCGGCAAAUUGACACCGUAACUUCGGAAGAAGGUGUGCCCUAUUAGUGUGAAGUGAACAACGGAGCAUGAAUGGGUUGCAAAAAAUCGGUGGCUGCGACUGUUUAUUAAAAACACAGCACUCUGCAAACACGAAAGUGGACGUAUAGGGUGUGACGCCUGCCCGGUGCUGGAAGAUUAAAUGAUGGGGUGCAAGCUCUUGAUUGAAGUCCCAGUAAACGGCGGCCGUAACUAAACGGUCCUAAGGUAGCGAAAUUCCUUGUCGGGUAAGUUCCGACCUGCACGAAUGGCGUAACGAUGGCCACACUGUCUCCUCCUGAGACUCAGCGAAGUUGAAAUGUUUGUGAUGAUGCAAUCUCCCCGCGGAAAGACGGAAAGACCCCAUGAACCUUUACUGUAGCUUUGUAUUGGACUUUGAACAGAUCUGUGUAGGAUAGGUGGGAGGCUUUGAAGCAGGGUCGCUAGAUCUUGUGGAGCCAACGUUGAAAUACCACCCUGGUGUGUUUGAGGUUCUAACCUAGGUCCAUUAUCUGGAUCGGGGACAGUGCAUGGUAGGCAGUUUGACUGGGGCGGUCUCCUCCCAAAGCGUAACGGAGGAGUUCGAAGGUACGCUAGUUACGGUCGGACAUCGUGACGAUAGUGCAAUGGCAUAAGCGUGCUUAACUGCGAGACUGACAAGUCGAGCAGAUGCGAAAGCAGGACAUAGUGAUCCGGUGGUUCUGUAUGGAAGGGCCAUCGCUCAACGGAUAAAAGGUACUCUGGGGAUAACAGGCUGAUACCGCCCAAGAGUUCAUAUCGACGGCGGUGUUUGGCACCUCGAUGUCGGCUCAUCUCAUCCUGGGGCUGUAGCCGGUCCCAAGGGUAUGGCUGUUCGCCAUUUAAAGAGGUACGUGAGCUGGGUUUAAAACGUCGUGAGACAGUUUGGUCCCUAUCUUCCGUGGGCGCUGCAGAUUUGAGGAAGCCUGCUCCUAGUACGAGAGGACCGGAGUGGACACACCUCUGGUGUAUCGGUUGUCACGCCAGUGGCAUUGCCGAGUAGCUAAGUGUGGAAGAGAUAACCGCUGAAAGCAUCUAAGCGGGAAACUCGUUUCAAGAUGAGAUCUGCCGGGGCCUUGAGCCCCCUGAAGAGUCGUUCAAGACCAGGACGUUGAUAGGUCAGGUGUGGAAGCGCAGUAAUGCGUUAAGCUAACUGAUACUAAUUGCUCGUGCGGCUUGACC